GGGUACCAUUGCUAGAUGGUCACUUCGAUUAGUAUAGGAAUUGGUUCCUGUGCUACCGGUUUAAGUUCGAUCCUGCGGGGUCACACACAUUAGAGGUUCCUAUCUGAUCCAAUGGCUGAUGAAGAGUCCUACGUGUCUGAAAUUCUGUGAUCGAGAAUCAGGAUUCUCUAAUCAUGAGUUCCACACAUUUUGGGUAUCGAGAUCAAAAGUCCCACUGGUUUGAGACUUUUCGAUCAGGGUUUCAUAUCGAUGAAUUCUGAUACCCGAUUGCCCAUCGGAUUUGGACUCAGUAUUUAUGAGAGGUUUAAUUAGUGAUUUGAUUGCUAAUUAACUCAAUUUGAUUGAGUAAUUAUUUUUGGAUCAAGUCCAAUUGAAUUGGAUUCAGUUGGGUUUGACCCGAUUAGGUUAAG
This 410-nucleotide long non-coding RNA is filed under the name Elaeis guineensis (African oil palm). RNAcentral's name for it is "long non-coding RNA (EGUI_LNC047703)". Lineage: Eukaryota; Viridiplantae; Streptophyta; Magnoliopsida; Arecales; Arecaceae. The record is from RNAcentral.